UACGUAGGUGGCAAGCGUUAUCCGGAAUGAUUGGGCGUAAAGCGUCUGUAGGUGGCUUUUUAAGUCCGCCGUCAAAUCCCAGGGCUCAACUCUGGACAGGCGGUGGAAACUACCAAGCUGGAGUACGGUAGGGGCAGAGGGAAUUCGGUGUAGUGGUGAAAUGCGUAGAGAUCGGGAGGAACACCAGUGGCGAAGGCGGUGGCCUGGACCGAUGCUGACGCUGAGGCGCGAAAGCGUGGGGAGCGAUCCGG
RNAcentral lists this ribosomal RNA (251 nucleotides) under uncultured bacterium. Its description in RNAcentral is "partial 16S ribosomal RNA". It matches the Rfam family "Bacterial small subunit ribosomal RNA", at positions 524 to 776 of the family's 1533-position model. The record is from RNAcentral.